GCCGUAACCAAAGCUCAGUUGGGAGAGCGUUAGACUGAAGAUCUAAAGGUCCCUGGUUCAAUCGGGUUUCGGCA
RNAcentral lists this transfer RNA (74 nucleotides) under Trichonephila inaurata madagascariensis. Its description in RNAcentral is "tRNA-Phe". The stretch from base 10 to 67 matches the Rfam family "tRNA", at positions 7 to 64 of the family's 71-position model. Rfam says of the family: Transfer RNA (tRNA) molecules are approximately 80 nucleotides in length. Their secondary structure includes four short double-helical elements and three loops (D, anti-codon, and T loops). Lineage: Eukaryota; Metazoa; Arthropoda; Arachnida; Araneae; Nephilidae. The record is from RNAcentral.